RNAcentral lists this ribosomal RNA (429 nucleotides) under Actinomycetes bacterium. Its description in RNAcentral is "Actinobacteria bacterium partial 16S ribosomal RNA". It matches the Rfam family "Bacterial small subunit ribosomal RNA", at positions 355 to 776 of the family's 1533-position model. The record is from RNAcentral. Lineage: Bacteria; Bacillati; Actinomycetota; Actinomycetes.
UAGGGAAUCUUCCGCAAUGGGCGAAAGCUUGACGGAGCAACGCCGCGUGAGUGAUGAAGGUCUUCGGAUCGUAAAACUCUGUUAUUAGGGAAGAACAAAUGUGUAAGUAACUAUGCACGUCUUGACGGUACCUAAUCAGAAAGCCACGGCUAACUACGUGCCAGCAGCCGCGGUAAUACGUAGGUGGCAAGCGUUAUCCGGAAUUAUUGGGCGUAAAGCGCGCGUAGGCGGUUUUUUAAGUCUGAUGUGAAAGCCCACGGCUCAACCGUGAAGGGUCAUUGGAAACUGGAAAACUUGAGUGCAGCAGAGGAAAGUGGAAUUCCAUGUGUAGCGGUGACAUGCGCAGAGAUAUGGAGGAACGCCAGUGGCGAAGGCGACUUUCUAGUCUGUAACUGACGCUGAUGUGCGAAAGCGUGGGGAUCAAACAGG